RNAcentral lists this ribosomal RNA (1389 nucleotides) under Triticum aestivum (bread wheat). RNAcentral's name for it is "partial small subunit ribosomal RNA". Lineage: Eukaryota; Viridiplantae; Streptophyta; Magnoliopsida; Poales; Poaceae. The record is from RNAcentral.
CUUGGCAAACUUGAAGGAGAGCUUGAUGCUCAACAGUUGAUUGACACGGGUGCUAAUGUGCAUGUAUGCGGUGAUAUUUCCAUGUUUUCGUCUUAUCAGACCGUAGGGACUUCAACCGUGCUGAUGGAAAUAACUCCAUUCGAGGAAUGUGACAAGAAAAGGUUAAAACUCUCUUAUCUACGAACAUGGGGUUGUUUGGCGAAAGAAGCGGUUCGUAGCGAGAUGGAUUCCAUCUUGGCAAAUGAAACUUGGGAGAUAAGUGAUCGUCCUUAUCGGUGCAAACCUAUAGGAUGCAAAUGGGUAUUCAAGAAGAAGCUUAGGCCUGAUGGUACUAUUGAAAAGUACAAGGCUCGGCUCGUGGCUAAGGGUUACACCCAAAAGGAAGGUGAAGACUUCUUUGAUACUUACUCACCUGUGGCUCGACUGACCACUAUUCGAGUUCUACUUUCACUAGCUGCCUCACAUGGUCUUCUCGUUCAUCAAAUGGAUGUUAAGACUGCUUUCCUAAAUGGAGAGUUGGACGAGGAAAUUUAUAUGGAACAACCUGAUGGGUUUGUACUAGAUGGUCAGGAAGAAAAAGUGUGCAAGUUGCUGAAGUCUUUGUAUGGACUCAAGCAAGCACCCAAACAGUGGCAUGAGAAGUUUGAAAGAACUUUAACAGCUGCAGGCUUUGUUGUAAACGAAGCUGACAAAUGUGUGUACUAUCACCAUGGUGGGGGCGAGGGAGUUAUCCUUUGCUUGUAUGUUGACGACAUACUGAUUUUCGGAACAAAUCUGAAUGUUAUUAAGGAGGUCAAGGAUUUCCUAUCUCGCUGUUUUGAGAUGAAGGAUUUAGGAGUGGCUGAUGUCAUUCUGAACAUCAAGUUGUUGAGAAACGAUGAUGGUGGGAUUACAUUGCUUCAAUCUCACUAUGUGGAAAAGAUCUUGAGUCGCUUUGGCUAUAGUGACUGCAAGAUUAUUGGCUCGCUUAUGUACUUAGCCAGUGCUACAAGACCUGACAUCUCUUUUGCUGUUAGCAAACUGAGUCGGUUUGUCUCAAAACCAGGAGAUGUGCAUUGUAAAGCUCUAGAGAGAGUUUUGCGUUAUUUGAAAGGCACUGCGAAUUAUGGAAUUUACUACACCGGGCACCCAAAGGUGCUUGAAGGGUAUAGUGACUCAAACUGGAUCUCAGAUGCUGAUGAGAUAAAGGCCACGAGCGGCUCAAAGGAUAACAUGAAGUCAUCAAGACACGUUCAGAGAAGGUUAAAGUCUGUCAGGAAAAUGAGAAACUCCGGAGUUAUUGCAUUGGAUUAUAUCCAAACAUCUAAAAAUCUGGCAGAUCCUUUUACUAAGGGUCUAUCACGUAAUGUGAUAGAUAAUGCAUCGAGGGAGAUGGGUAUGAGACCCACA